RNAcentral lists this ribosomal RNA (254 nucleotides) under uncultured bacterium. RNAcentral's name for it is "partial 16S ribosomal RNA". It matches the Rfam family "Bacterial small subunit ribosomal RNA", at positions 524 to 776 of the family's 1533-position model. The record is from RNAcentral.
UACGUAGGGUGCAAGCGUUUGUCCGGAAUUAUUGGGCGUAAAGAGCUCGUAGGCGGUCUGUCGCGUCUGCUGUGAAAACCUAGGGCUUAACUCUGGGCGUGCAGUGGGUACGGGCAGGCUAGAGUGCGGUAGGGGAGACUGGAAUUCCUGGUGUAGCGGUGAAAUGCGCAGAUAUCAGGAGGAACACCGGUGGCGAAGGCGGGUCUCUGGGCAGUAACUGACGCUGAGGAGCGAAAGCGUGGGGAGCGAACAGG